UGGGGAAUAUUGGACAAUGGGCGCAAGCCUGAUCCAGCAAUGCCGCGUGUGUGAAGAAGGCCUUCGGGUUGUAAAGCACUUUUAUCAGGAGCGAAACGCUGUCGGCUAAUACCCGGCGGAACUGACGGUACCUGAGGAAUAAGCACCGGCUAACUUCGUGCCAGCAGCCGCGGUAAUACGAAGGGUGCAAGCGUUAAUCGGAAUUACUGGGCGUAAAGCGUGCGUAGGCGGUUUCUUAAGUCUGCUGUGAAAUCCCCGGGCUCAACCUGGGAAUGGCAGUGGAUACUGGGAGGCUAGAGUGUGUCAGAGGGUGGUGGAAUUCCCGGUGUAGCGGUGAAAUGCGUAGAGAUCGGGAGGAACAUCAGUGGCGAAGGCGGCCACCUGGGACAACACUGACGCUGAGGCACGAAAGCGUGGGGAGCAAACAGGAUUAGAUACCCUGGUAGUCCACGCCCUAAACGAUGCGAACUGGAUGUUGGUCUCAACUCGGAGAUCAGCGUCGAAGCUAACGCGUUAAGUUCGCCGCCUGGGGAGUACGGUCGCAAGACUGAAACUUAAAUGAAUUGAC
This 568-nucleotide ribosomal RNA is filed under the name uncultured bacterium. Its description in RNAcentral is "partial 16S ribosomal RNA". It matches the Rfam family "Bacterial small subunit ribosomal RNA", at positions 355 to 914 of the family's 1533-position model. The record is from RNAcentral.